This 292-nucleotide ribosomal RNA is filed under the name uncultured Verrucomicrobiota bacterium. RNAcentral describes it as "uncultured Verrucomicrobia bacterium partial 16S ribosomal RNA". Lineage: Bacteria; Pseudomonadati; Verrucomicrobiota. The record is from RNAcentral.
GGACUACUGGGGUAUCUAAUCCCUUUUGCUCCCCACGCUUUCGUGCCUGAGCGUCAGUAAUUGUCCAGGUAGCCGCCUUCGCCUCUGGUGUUCCUCACGAUAUCUACGCAUUUCACUGCUACACCGUGAAUUCCGCUACCCUCUCCAAUACUCUAGCCAAGUAGUUUUAGACGCAGUUCCGGGGUUGAGCCCCGGGAUUUCACAUCUAACACACUCGGCCGCCUGCGCACCCUUUACGCCCAGUGAAUCCGAAUAACGCUUGCAGUCUCUGUAUUACCGCGGCUGCUGGCAC